Long non-coding RNA from Engraulis encrasicolus (European anchovy), 1663 nucleotides. RefSeq lists it as uncharacterized. The transcript has 3 exons. NCBI's taxonomy places the organism in Eukaryota, Metazoa, Chordata, Actinopteri, Clupeiformes, Engraulidae. The record is from RefSeq and is a predicted model, not a curated record.
CCUGCUGUUCUACAAUUACUCCAUCUGUUACCACUACUUCAAGACAACUACUUCAAAACAUCAACGUCAGUGACCUCAAUAAAAAAGACAAGACGAGUGGAAUACUACUACUACUACUACUGUCUGUGUACAGUCCUCUUUCAAGUGUGGAAACCCAGUGCUGACAUAGACUUGACAGUGAGAAACUUCUACAGUGAAUAACCACCAGACUGGAAAACCAAUGCACUAUUGGAAACUGCUGAGUGCCAAUGCAUCAUCGCCGCACCAGUGAGCCGCAGUGGACCACCAUCUAAAGAGUGCAUCACGCCGUUGACCCGUGUACAGCCUUCUGCUGCCAGUGACCAAGACUCAAAGACUCUACUCACACCACAACCCAACAGAGAGAAGACACUUCACCUGGAGGCCUGGAGGAUAAAGCUUGAAGAAAAGAAGAAGGAAAAAAAACAAGCUCGAAGGAAAAAAAGGACAAAAAAGCUUCCACCUCCCAGAAAAAAGGGUUCAGAUGAAGGUUCUGCCUCCCCCUUCAUAUCCUCUCUUGACAUUUAGGAUCCUUUUAGCUGCUCUCCAUGUCUAGAAACUGUCCUGAUCAGCUGCCUUGGACUGCUGAAGUGCCUUUCGUCCAAUAGAUCUUGGACUGCUGCUACUGUGGGUGGAGGAGUUCUGGACUUGGACUGUGCGUUGUCCCGGACUGCAAUUGGGUGUUGUGCCUUCAGUCGACUUUGAGUAUGAGUACUGCAGUGAACGUUUUCCUCUGCAUUAGCGACACUGUCUCUUGCUUGUAACGCAGGGUCUUGUACUGGCUUUGUUGACCACUGAAGGAACUGUGCACUGUUGUGCUUUCAGUUAGGUCUUCGGGACUGGCCUGAUGAUGUCUGCAAUGUUCAGAGAGAACCUGUAUCACCAAUCUCAGUAGAGUAGAGUAGAGUAGAGCAGAGUAGAGUAUAUUAGAGUAGAGUUGUAGAGGCUUGGCUUAGGUUAGUGGCUCUGGUGUUACAGGUGCUUUGGAUGGCGGAGGCAUUGUCAUGCGCAGGGCCUGUCCUGAUGCCUGGCUGGAGGUUGCUCCACGGUUCCUUCGGCUACCUUGAGGUGGGUGGCCAACCGGGUCAGUGGAAUGCCUUGCUGCGCAGGUGGGAGGUGGUCUCACUGUGUGGAGAAGGGCGUUCACUGCAGUGCUUGUCCGGACUCAGCUGGGGGCAAGGCACCCGGUUGCAGUCUGGGGUGGCGUGUGGGCCAGCUCCGGGGCUCCACUGCCAACAGUGGCAGUGGUCCAAGAACCGUUGGGCGAAGGGUGCUUCGGCCGUCUGGGAAGGCUGUUUGGGGCAGUUGCAUGGACAUGGAAACCGGCUGAGGGAUUCCUGAGUGUCGGGAGGGGAAUGGGGGCAGUGCCACGCCGGGCCUCCAGGGGAGAUGGGACUACCAGGACCUCCCAGACCCACAGACAGGGUUUACUGCCGCAGCGUGUGCGUGUACACCGGAUCUCAGAAGGGAGGUGGGACUGCCAUGAUCUCCUGGAUGCACAGAAGAAAGAGGCUUCGUCAGGAGUGUAGGUGACACUGGACCACUGGAAGAGGCGAAUGACCAGGCCCUGCAGCUGAUCAAGGGCCUAAAGGCGCACAGGGAGCCAAAGGGGUCAAAGGAGAAGAGGGACCCGCAGGACAACGGG